AGUGAACGCUGGCGGUAGGCCUAACACAUGCAAGUCGAACGGCAGCACAGUAAGAGCUUGCUCUUACGGGUGGCGAGUGGCGGACGGGUGAGGAAUACAUCGGAAUCUACUUUUUCGUGGGGGAUAACGUAGGGAAACUUACGCUAAUACCGCAUACGACCUACGGGUGAAAGCAGGGGAUCUUCGGGCCUUGCGCGAUUGAAUGAGCCGAUGUCGGAUUAGCUAGUUGGCGGGGUAAAGGCCCACCAAGGCGACGCUCCGUAGCUGGUCUGAGAGGAUGGACAGCCAGACUGGAACUGAGAAACGGUCCCGACUCCUACGGGAGGCAGCAGUGGGGAAUAUUGGACAAUGGGCGAAAGCCUGAUCCAGCCAUACCGCGUGGGUGAAGAAGGACUUCGGGUUGUAAAGCCCUUUUGUUGGGAAAGAAAAGCAGCAGGUUAAUACCCCGCUGUUCUGACGGUACCCAAAGAAUAAGCACCGGCUAACUUCGUG
Molecule: ribosomal RNA, 492 nt
Filed under: uncultured bacterium
Lineage: Bacteria
Description: partial 16S ribosomal RNA
Rfam family: Bacterial small subunit ribosomal RNA
Source: RNAcentral